AAGCAUCUCUGUCCAUUCAAAGUGAAAGGUGGUAAAAGCUAUUUCUUUUGCAUCUUCAGACCUCAAAUCUGGAACAAGGUUUGGAAAGCACCUCUAAACAAUUCAUAUCACUCUUCUUUAAGUUGGUUUUAUUUCGAGCAUAUCAAGUUUCUCCACAGGUGAGUCACUGGGAGGCAAGGUCCAUAGGGAGGCAAGAUCACAGCUGGACUAGGGACUUGCCUCGAGGACAGUCUUUACGUAUUUAAUUUGGAAUUUAAAAGUUAUAUAUUACCGAAUAGCCAGACCCAGAUUUGUUUGUUUUACUCUCUUAGGACUAUAUAGAAGUUACAUAGACAUGAGGUACAGUAUAAGUAAGAAUUUAACAUUAUUGUUUUGUUUUUGUAAUCUAUUAAUUGAGAAAGUGGUUCAGAAGUGUAAAUGGAAUGCCUUUUAAAGGAGACUUUUUUAUGUAUAGAAUAUUUAGGAUGAUUAAAAAUAAACUAAUUGGUGUAAAUAAAACAAAUUUAAAACUUGAAAAUUUCAAAGAGUGAAAAAAAUUUUGAGUAGGUACAAGUGCUUUAAAUUAUCAAAAGUGAUAAAUGGGACUUAUCUAGUUUCUUUUUUAUAAGGUAGAUAAAUAAAAAUGAAUGUUAACUUAGCAAGAUAUGCUUCUAAUUUUUUUUUCAUUUACAUCAAUUAAAGUAUGUCAGACUUACUAAAAAAAAGAGCCUUUGGAUAUGUCUGCUACAAGUAUCUGAAAGUUAAAAAAAUCUUACAUUUGAAAUCUGAAGCAUAAUAGUGUGGAGUGGGUAUUAGUAUCAUAAAAAAGUUGUUUAGGGGAAUUGAAGUGGUUCAUUGUAACCAUUUUUAUUUCAUCUCAGCUUUACCUAAUAAAAUUUAUUGUCAUUGAUAAAUUUUACUUUUUCACAGAAAGGAAAAGUGUUUUGUUUGAUCAGUGUUCAAUAUAUAUAGAUUUAAAAAUAAGAAAAUUGGAGUUUCCGUCGUGGCUCAGUGGUUAACGAAUCCGACUAGGAACCAUGAGGUUGCGGGUUCGGUUCCUGCCCUUGCUCGGUGGGUUAAUGAUCCGGCGUUGCCGUGAGCUGUGGUGUAGGUUGCGGACUUGGCUCGGAUCCCACGUUGCUGUGGCUCUGGCGUAGGCCGGUGGCUCCGAUUCGACCCCUAACCUGGGAACCUCCAUAUGCCACAGGAGUGGCCCUAG
RNAcentral lists this long non-coding RNA (1198 nucleotides) under Sus scrofa (pig). Its description in RNAcentral is "lncRNA (ENSSSCG00005035723.1)". The record is from RNAcentral. Lineage: Eukaryota; Metazoa; Chordata; Mammalia; Artiodactyla; Suidae.